GGCUAUGUGUUCCAAAAAGAAAUGAAGAGUUGAAGAGUGAGAUUAUGGAGGAAGCUCAUAGCUCUGCAUAUGCUGCUCAUCCGGGUAGCACAAAAAUGUAUCGGAUUUUGAAGGAUUAUUAUUGGUGGCCAAACAUGAAGAGGGAAAUUGCAGCUUAUGUGAGUAGAUGUCUGAUUUGUCAGCAAGUCAAGGCUGAAAGGCAGAAGCCUUCUGGAUUGCUUGAGCCGUUGCCCAUUCUAGUGUGGAAGUGGGACCACAUCACCAUGGAUUUUGGUUUUAGCUUACCUCGUACCCGUGAUGGGCAUGACGGUAUUUGGGUGAUUGUGGAUAGACUCACCAAGUCUGCACAUUUCUUGCCAGUGGGAAAGAAGUAUAAAUUGGAUAAAUUGGCGGAGCUCUAUGUGAAUGAAAUUGUGAGGCUUCAUGGUGUUCUUGAAUCAAUAGUGUCAGAUCGGGACCCUCGAUUUGCUUCUAAAUUCUGGGGAGCUCUUCAGGCAGCUUUAGGUACCCAAUUACUCUUCAGCACUGCUUUUCAUCCUCAGACUGAUGGGCAGUCCGAAAGGACUAUUCAGACUUUGGAGGAUUUGUUGAGGGCUUGUGCCAUGCAGUUCAGAGGUAGUUGGGAUAAAAACCUAUCUUUGAUGGAAUUUGCCUAUAAUAAUAGCUAUCAUUCUAGUAUUGGUAUGGCGCCCUUUGAGGCUCUUUAUGGGAGGCAGUGUCGCACGCCUUUGUGUUGGAAUGAAGUAGGGGAAAAAGAGCUUUGCGGCCCAGAGUUAAUCCAUGUUACGAAUGAGAAGAUUAAAGUGGUUAGAGAUAGACUCAAGACCGCUCAGAGUAGGCAGAAGAGUUAUGCAGAUGUCCGUAGGAGAGAUCUUGAAUUUCAAGUGGGUGAUUGGGUGUUCCUGAAAUUAUCUCCUUGGAAAGGAGUUGUGCGUUUCGGUAAGCGUGGGAAGCUUAGUCCGAGGUAUAUUGGCCCUUAUGAGAUUAUA
This 989-nucleotide long non-coding RNA is filed under the name Fragaria vesca (wild strawberry). RNAcentral describes it as "long non-coding RNA (FVES_LNC005294)". The record is from RNAcentral. Lineage: Eukaryota; Viridiplantae; Streptophyta; Magnoliopsida; Rosales; Rosaceae.